RNAcentral lists this ribosomal RNA (272 nucleotides) under uncultured bacterium. Its description in RNAcentral is "partial 16S ribosomal RNA". It matches the Rfam family "Bacterial small subunit ribosomal RNA", at positions 28 to 308 of the family's 1533-position model. The record is from RNAcentral.
GAUGAACGUUGGCGGCGUGCCUAACACAUGCAAGUCGAACGAUAGUCGCAAGACUAUAGUGGCGCACGGGUGAGUAACACGUAGCUUACCAGCCUCUCAGCGCGGGAUAACGGCUCGAAAGAGGUGCUAAUACCGCAUAAGCUCACGGGAUGUAGAGACUAGUGAGAAAAGGUGCAAAUCACUGAGAGACGGGGGCUGCGGCCCAUCAGCUAGNGGUGCGGUAACGGCGCACCAAGGCGACGACGGGUAGGGGACCUGAGAGGGUGACCCCC